AGAUUGAACGCUGGCGGCAGGCCUAACACAUGCAAGUCGAGCGGUAGAGAGGUGCUUGCACCUCUUGAGAGCGGCGGACGGGUGAGUAAUGCCUAGGAAUCUGCCUAGUGGUGGGGGAUAACGUUACGGAAACGGACGCUAAUACCGCAUACGUCCUACGGGAGAAAGCGGGGGACCUUCGGGCCUCGCGCCAUUAGAUGAGCCUAGGUCGGAUUAGCUAGUUGGUGAGGUAAUGGCUCACCAAGGCGACGAUCCGUAACUGGUCUGAGAGGAUGAUCAGUCACACU
RNAcentral lists this ribosomal RNA (287 nucleotides) under uncultured soil bacterium. RNAcentral's name for it is "partial 16S ribosomal RNA". It matches the Rfam family "Bacterial small subunit ribosomal RNA", at positions 26 to 314 of the family's 1533-position model. The record is from RNAcentral.